UAUUAAAAAUUUCAUCCAUUUUUACUGUUAAGAACUAGUGUGGCCGACAAAAUAACUAGAUACGUGUACCUUAUGCUAACAUAUAAAUGACUAGUUUUUAACAGUAAAAAUGGAUGGAAUUAUUAACA
Non-coding RNA from Gossypium raimondii (Peruvian cotton), 128 nucleotides. The record is from Rfam. Lineage: Eukaryota; Viridiplantae; Streptophyta; Magnoliopsida; Malvales; Malvaceae.